GAUGAAGAACGUAGCGAAAUGCGAUAAGUAAUGUGAAUUGCAGAAUUCAGUGAAUCAUCGAAUCUUUGAACGCACCUUGCGCUCCUUGGUAUUCCAAAGAGCAUGCCUGUUUGAGUAUCAUUAAAUUAUCAACUGUACCAAUUUGGUUGCAGAUUGGAUGUGGGAGAUUUUGCAGGCUUUUGAUUUCUCUUUGAGAAAACGGUCAGCUCUCCUGAAAUAUAUUAGCAGUGCCUUUGUUGGUUCAUUAGGUGUGAUAAUUUAUCUACAUCUUGACAUGGUACCUUCAUUUGUGUAAAGGUCAUAUUGCUUCUAAUUGUCUUUGGACAUAAAAAAAAAAAAACAUAUAAUUGUAUGGAAAACUUGAUCUCAAAUCAGGCAGGACUACCCGCUGAACUUAAGCAUAUCAAUAAGCGGAGGA
Molecule: unclassified non-coding RNA, 418 nt
Filed under: soil metagenome
Description: partial contains 5.8S ribosomal RNA, internal transcribed spacer 2, and large subunit ribosomal RNA
Rfam family: 5.8S ribosomal RNA (bases 1-120)
Source: RNAcentral